This is a long non-coding RNA of Bombus terrestris (buff-tailed bumblebee), 1287 nucleotides long. RefSeq lists it as uncharacterized. The record is from RefSeq and is a predicted model, not a curated record. The transcript is spliced from 3 exons. Lineage: Eukaryota; Metazoa; Arthropoda; Insecta; Hymenoptera; Apidae.
GCCAGUUUUCAAAGGAGCUGCUUGUUUGCACGCAGUUCCAUUUCUUUUUCGUCGCACGGCACAAUUCCAUGUAAAUCUUUCCCAAGCUUUACCUUUUUUUCUCCUUCCAACGACAGUAUUAUUCGUAUAAUUGCGACGAAACGGAAUGUGAAGUUGUUCAACGUUUAAUGUGACGUAUGUUGCAUGUAUUUGGCUGAAAUAAUUGCGAAUGGAAGGAGGAUUUUAGUUAACAGAAACGUGAAAUCUCUUCUUGUUACUGGUAUUUUCCAACGUUGAAAUCGAAUUAGGAGCUAAAAAUUGUUUCAACGAUAUUAUAUUUGUGAAAAUGAUCAAAGUCGAAAUUACGAUUGUGAAUUAUACCAGAUUUUAAUCGUUACGGUUGAGGAAUUCCGCACUAUGUUAAGUUUUUUAGUGUUGACUGUGUAGCUAUGAAACUGAAAGUUGAUUUGAAAAAUUAGAAACUAACGUACGAUUGAAAUAUUCCGCAAAUCUUGGACAUUAACGAAAUUGAAAUUAUAGCUGAGAAAUUAGAAACGGAUUAUAGUUUCGAUGAUCGAAGGAUCUUUUUAGACUAUUUACGUAUUCGACUUGGAAAACAAUUUCUUCUGAAAUAUGAAGACGAUGUUACAAUCUAUAUAAAAGAUGACUAAUCAUUCGUCUAACAAUUCAACGUUCAACGUCUAUCACACACCGCAUUGAAGGAUAUAACAAAAAUCUACACAGAACACUCAUAUAUGUCACAAUGAAUAUAAUAGACGAUACUAAUGCAAAACAAACGUUGAAUUGGAAUUAUCAUAUACGAACGAAUGAUCCAAAUUGGUCAUUAGACAUUCUGCUCUCUCGGAUUGCUAACUAUUCCGAUCGAUGCAACACGCUUUAUCCGAUAUCCAUUUCUACUUAGUGGAUGAGGUGUAAAAUUGGAUCGACGAUUGGAUCUACUUUAAAGACAGAAUUACAAAUAGAAUUCAUCGUUUGCCUGAUAGAUGGCUCAAAGUUAUAAAAAUCAAAAUAAAAAAUAUUUUGAUCGAACAAUUUGCUGUGUUUUUCUUAAAAUAAGCACCGAGUUUCACUGCAAAAUUUGGAUUAUUCCUUUUUUCAUUGCUUUCCUUAACAGAAUUACAAUGUCCCAGUUGCGCACACAUAUCGCACUCAAUACUUAACACAGUAUAACGAAACAUAGUAAAACGUAGAGUCGUCUAUCAUUUAUUUCCAUGGAUAAAAUGUCGUCUAGAUUUAAACAUUAGAUUCAGCUAGAACCAAACAUACGAUAAUCAUUUAUUAUUCACA